AAAAAUUGUAGAAAUUAUCAUUGUAUAUAAAAAUAACAUAGAAAAAGAGUAUAUACUUUUCAAGUCAUAUUUAAAUAUUAUAUAAAUUUCUAUAUAUAAAUAUUUCUACAUUAAAUAUUUUAAGAAUAUGGCACAUAUUUACAAUAAUUAUUUAUUUAAAAAAUUAUUUAAUUAAUUCAUCAUCAUAUAAUCUUUAAAAAUUUUUUUUAAAGAAAAACAUAAUCGAACAUAUUUUAAUGUACACUAUUUUUAAUUGUAAAGACAUAUAUCACAGUCACAAAAUCUAUUUGUAAUGUUUAUAUGUUUUAAAG
Apis dorsata (giant honeybee) is the source of this 311-nucleotide long non-coding RNA. RefSeq lists it as uncharacterized. Lineage: Eukaryota; Metazoa; Arthropoda; Insecta; Hymenoptera; Apidae. The record is from RefSeq and is a predicted model, not a curated record. The transcript is spliced from 2 exons.